GCACUAUCUCAGUCGAGAUUCCUACGGGAGGCAGCAGUGGGGAAUAUUGGACAAUGGGGGCAACCCUGAUCCAGCCAUGCCGCGUGAGUGAAGAAGGCCCUAGGGUUGUAAAGCUCUUUCAGGUGUGAGGAUGAUGACAGUAGCACCAGAAGAAGCCCCGGCUAACUUCGUGCCAGCAGCCGCGGUAAUACGAAGGGGGCUAGCGUUGUUCGGAAUUACUGGGCGUAAAGCGCGCGUAGGCGGAUUGGAAAGUUGGGGGUGAAAUCCCGGGGCUCAACCCCGGAACUGCCUCCAAAACUCCCAGUCUUGAGUUCGAGAGAGGUGAGUGGAACUCCGAGUGUAGAGGUGAAAUUCGUAGAUAUUCGGAAGAACACCAGUGGCGAAGGCGGCUCACUGGCUCGAUACUGACGCUGAGGUGCGAAAGUGUGGGGAGCAAACAGGAUUAGAUACCCUGGUAGUCCACACCGUAAACGAUGAAUGCCAGACGUCAGCAAGUAUACUUGUUGGUGUCACACCUAACGGAUUAAGCAUUCCGCCUGGGGAGUACGGUCGCAAGAUUAAAACUCAAAGGAAUUGACGG
RNAcentral lists this ribosomal RNA (580 nucleotides) under uncultured Alphaproteobacteria bacterium. Its description in RNAcentral is "bacterial SSU rRNA". It matches the Rfam family "Bacterial small subunit ribosomal RNA", at positions 316 to 916 of the family's 1533-position model. Lineage: Bacteria; Pseudomonadati; Pseudomonadota; Alphaproteobacteria. The record is from RNAcentral.